Molecule: unclassified non-coding RNA, 485 nt
Filed under: Hevea brasiliensis (rubber tree)
Lineage: Eukaryota; Viridiplantae; Streptophyta; Magnoliopsida; Malpighiales; Euphorbiaceae
Source: RNAcentral
CUGGACGGAGUGAAGAUCAAGGGAUUGCAGUUGAUUCACCCACAUUUUUGGGGGGAAAAAUUGAUCGGAGAAGAACAGGAGUGGGAUCGGAAGGACUUAUUCGUGGUGGAGAAUCUGUGGUUUAUGGUUUCGAAGGAUAUUAAGAAUUUGGAUCACCCGAUUGUGAAUCCAGAGCACGACCCGGAUUUGGGGCGGCUUGCGGCAGAGAGAGUGGCGGUUUAUGUGGCGGAGAAAGACAAUCUGAAGGUGAGAGGACGGCAUUACGCAGAAUGUCUGAAGAAAUCAGGAUGGAAAGGCACCGUCGAGGUGGUGGAGACCACCGGCGAAGGCCACGUAUUCCAUUUGUUCAAUCCGACCUGCGACAUGGCGGGGGAACUGGUAAAACAGCUGGCGGCGUUCACCAGCAGCGGCCGCAGUGGUUAAUUGAAGUUCAGUGAAAGAAAGGGUAAGAAAGUAAUUGCUCAUACCUUCUUCCUUGUCGUCGG